Pangasianodon gigas (Mekong giant catfish) is the source of this 73-nucleotide non-coding RNA. The record is from the annotation of a GenBank genome assembly. Lineage: Eukaryota; Metazoa; Chordata; Actinopteri; Siluriformes; Pangasiidae.
GCCUGGCUAGCUCAGUUGGUAGUGCAUGGGACUCUUGAGCUCAGGAGCAUGGGUUUGAAUCCCAUGCUGGGUG